Molecule: non-coding RNA, 48 nt
Organism: Schistosoma rodhaini
Lineage: Eukaryota; Metazoa; Platyhelminthes; Trematoda; Strigeidida; Schistosomatidae
Source: Rfam
AUCCAGCUGUCGAGUCUCAAAUAGGACGAAAUAAGCGUCAAACUGGAU